AUUGAGUAUGGAUUGAGCAUCACACUAAAAACCUUUCCCGGAAAAAGAGACCAAAGGAUGUAAACUGAAAAUUUUAAAAAUCUUCUUUGUUUUCCUCAAAUUGCUGAAGAUCCAGAGAUGGUCCUGGCUUUCCAGUUAGUCUUCUUCACCUACAUCUGGAUCAUAUUGAUACCAAAUGUUUGUGCUGCUUCUAACAUCAAGAUGACACACCAGCGGUGCUCCUCUUCAAUGAAACAAACCUGCAAACAAGAAACUAGAAUGAAGAAAGAUGACAGGACCAAAGUGCGGUCUCAGAAAUAUGAGCAACUUCUCCAUAUAGAGGACGACGAUUUCGCAAUGAGACCUGGAUUUGGAGGGUCUCCAGUGCCAGUAGGUAUAGAUGUCCAUGUUGAAAGCAUUGACAGCAUUUCAGAGACUAACAUGAUCCUUCAUCCAUGAUACAACUAUGGAGAAUAUCAUGCUACGCGUACACCCUGAUGGAAACGUCCUCCUAAGUCUCAGGUUGGUACAAUAGGCUUUUCAUCAACUUUGUGCUAAGGAGGCAUGUUUUCUUCUUUGUGCUGCAAACCUAUUUCCCAGCCAUAUUGAUGGUGAUGCUUUCAUGGGUUUCAUUUUGGAUUGACCGAAGAGCUGUUCCUGCAAGAGUUUCCCUGGGUAAAUCUUUCCCCAUCUUUAUAAAAUGUUAACAUGGGAGAAAGUUCAAGGGAGGUAAAUAAAAUGGGUCAUACAUGGAGAGGAAAAGAGAGUGGUGGUUUAGUAGGGAUAGUCAGAGAUGAACAUCCAGGUUGCAGUAUCGAUCUUGACAUCCUCAAGGGCAAAUUGUAAUUGAGUUCUUUCCUUGGGAACCCGGAUUUUAGGGAUGAAGUCUUUGCUGACUGACCUGCAGUUGGGUGAUAGUAAAGAAAGGGGGUGAAAUUAUGAAGCAUAAACAGCCUCACUUUUAAAGCUUAUCUCUUUUCUUUUUUAAGGGAACCUCCCCAUGCAUUAUACAAGUCCACUUAGCUUUUCAGGACAAACCCUUAUAUCACAGAAAGGAAAACCUUCAAACUAAUUCACACUAUACUCUUAGUGUAUUAAUAACAAAUUACCUUGGUGGGUUAACAAGAACGUGGAAGGGAUGCUUGAAUUUGAAAAUAUGAAUACUGAUUAGAAAUUAGGACUUAACUAAAAGGCCAAAAUCAGAAUCAACCACAGUGGAAUUUCAGGUACAGUGGCAUAUUAGUUGGCAAGAGAUUUUAGGUGGAGAGACGUUGCCAGCCUCAUUAAGUCACUACACAGGGGUGAUUAUCUACACCGUCUAACAUGCUAUAUGCUUCUGUCACACACACUGAUUUAUGGGAACCAUUUCAGACCCACUUAGCAGUUAUUGAGAUCUUAGAAAGUAGAAGAUACCAAGCUAAGCACUUAGAUGACAUGUUACUUAAUGAGAACCCAAGAGAUAAUCCCACUUGCCUUUUUUGCUGGUCAGGGCAGAGCCCCCUCAUUUUAUCUGAUUUUGUUCUUUCAUUUGUAAUGCUCUAUCUAGAGAGAAGAUUGUUAUUAUUAUAAUCAUUGUUACAAUUAUUGUAAUUAUCACACAAUUCAUUCCAGAAAGGGUGGUUUGUAAGUUAAUGUUCACAAAUUAUAUGCAUACUUCAAAAGAUCAUUUGAAAGACAUAAAUUAUUAAUAUUAACAAUUUGCUCACCUCCUUUCCCUAUUAAAAUAUUCAAGCUACAACCAUUUGAGACUUGAAUAUCUUCAAGGAAAAAAUACCAUCUGAAUAAGUAAUUAAAUUAUUUGAACUGUUUCUUCACAUCAGAGCAGGUGCCCUAACCUCAGUACUGCAGUGUGGCAGCAUAGACCCAAACACAAGACCAAGGACACAUUUCCAGCCCUCUAGACACAAUGAGAAAAGCACUCAGUCUAUAAAGGUUUAUGAACAUGAUUUUCAAUCAGAUUUCUGAAGUUGACUGCUCUGCUCUAUACUGUGAAAAUGACAGCAAUAAGAGCUACUUCCAUGGAAGGGUGGAGUGAAUUGGGAACACUAAAACACUUUUAAGACAUCCUUGAAAUUCUCUGCUUCUUGCAACCACAUCUGCUCCCUUAGGGUUAGGAAAUUGCUAUGCAGAUUUAUGUAAAAUGCAUGCAAAUCAUAAGUGUCCCUCUCCCACUUUUUAAAAAAAUUAUUUUAAGAGAACAGUAGUAUUCCUAUAAAACUGUUACCCUCUCAGGCUUUUGCUUCCUACCACCCUCACUUUUUUUUCAAAGAUGCUUUGCCCUCUUCUUCCCUAGCUCUUUGCAAAUGCUUAGCUGCCCAGUUCUCUGGAAGGUCCCUAUGAAUACCUAUUCAUCUGUCCCACUUACCUUUUCUCUUCUGCCUCCUUCCUUCACCUUCUCCACAGCAUUUGACAUUAUUAGGCAUCCUCUCCAAAUCUAGGACCAACUUUAGUGGUCAAGAGUUCCAGCCUCAUCUUCCUCAUCUGCAAAAUGAAAUUGUUCAUACCACCUCCUAAAGGUCACUGUGAGAAUUAAAUGGGAGAAUUAAUUAGUUUAAUCAUGUCAACAGCCUAGCUUGAUGCCUGGCCCAUAGUGUUGGAUAAAACCAACUGCACACACAAUGCAUUAGUUUUCAAUACUCUCCGCUAGUCUAGUUUUUUUCUACUCCCGAAGACUUUUUUUUUUCCGUUUCUCUUUCCUGCUUUUUCUUCCACUCUUUAAGCAUGAGUAACUCCCUCCCAAGGAUCUGCUCACUUUUGACUCUUAUCAAAUGGAACAAACUUUUUAAUUCCAACUACUGUCCCUAUGUAAGCAUGUUCCAUUUGGGUACUUUCAGGUGUAUACUGGACUUUACCUUCAGGUACUACAAGCAUUCAGCCUGUUUAGAACCGAGUCUUUCCUUGGGAACCCAGACUUCAGGGAUGACGGUUGUGCCAACAGACCUGUAGCUGGAUGAUAGUAAGGAAAGAGAGUGAAAGUAUGAAGCAUAAAUAGCCUUAUUUUUAAAUCUUAUCUUUUCCCUUUCUAGGCACUCUCCCAUGCAUUACCCAAGCUCAUUUAGCUUUUCGUGACAAACCCUUACAUCACGGAAAAAAAAGAACCUUCAAACUAAUUCAUAUUAUACUGUUGGAGUCUUAAUACUGACUUACUUUAAUGGGUUAGCAGGGAAGCCACUUAUUCUCUUCACUUUCCUCAUUCUGGUCGGGGCCUUCCAGUUUGUUGAGCCUUUCAUAUUGAAACCUCAAUUUCCUUCUUAAUCUUUGGCAGUGAUUCUCAAACUAUGGCCUUAGGACCCAUUUAUACUCUUAAAAAUUAACGAGGACCCUAGAGAGCUUUUGUUGCUGUGGGUCGUGUCUAUCAUUAUUAGCCAUAUUAGAUGUUAAAAUAGAAUUUGAAAAUAGGUAUUAAUUCACUUAAAACUAGGAAUAAUCAACUCAUUACAAGUUAACAUGGUAACAUUGUAUGAAGCAUAAUUAUUUUUUCUAAAACAAAAACAUUUAGUGAGAAGAGUGGCAUUUUUAAACAUUUUUGCAAAUAUUUAAUGUCUACCUUUAUAGAGGGCAGCUGGAUUCUUAUCUCUGUUUCUUCAUUCAGUCUAUUGCAAUAGGUUUUGGUUGAAAUAUAGGGAGAAAUCAGACCUCAUCAGAUACAUAGUUUGAAAAGGGAGUAGUAUUUUAAUAGUCUUUCCAGAUAAUUGUGGAUAGCCUCCCUUCACAUUACACCAAAACUCAGCAAGUGAUAGUUCCUUAAAGUUUAAUUGCAAUGUGCUAUCUGAAACCAUGUCAACAAAUAUUUUCUACUCUGUUAGAUUACAAUCCAUUGGUCUAUCUUAUACUUUUGAUUACAAUCCAUUGGUCUAUCUUAUACUUUGAAUAGAUAUUUCACUGAUGCAUUGGUCAUUUGGAAAAUAUUGGUUCACUGAGUUACAGAGAUCUUCCAAAUGUUUACAUAAUUCAUUAUACUGGUUUGGAUCAUAAUCUCAAACGACACAAUACCAAAUGCCGUAAUCCUGAAUGCUGAAAUCCUGAAAGAUCAAAAUCCCUAAAGUCUAAAUCCCUCGAGUCUACAAUCUCAAAAAUCACAAUCACAGGAUAAUUACAUCAUGUUAGGCCAGUUACUAUGCACUAUCUUCAUGCAAUUGCCUAUAACCUAUCGCUGUUGUACACUGUUUCAUAUAUGAAAUUUUCUUUUUGGUUUUUGGUCUGUUUUUCUUAAGUUUUUUUUUUACUAUUUUUAAUUGUCAGAAUUAUAUUAAAUUUGCUAUGCUAUGUAUUUCAUCUUUGCAUCAUUUCUAGUAGUAGAGACAUAAAGAAGUUAGACUGUUAGAGAGUUCUAAUUUAUAUUAUGCAUUUUUGCAAAUUUAGCUCCAUGAAAGUGCAUUAUCACAUUAACUUUGUGUGUAAGUAUUGUGCAUGUAUGUAAAAAUGUUGAAACUUUCUCAGUAAAUGAAGACAUGUCCUUUUUGUACAUCUGCAUUUGUGAAAGAUAAAAUUUCAUGAGAUCUCAGCUCUUUGGGUGACUGCAUAUGUGGUGGGGGACCAUCAUGGUUUUUGAUCGAUCCUCAUAAGACUUAGGUUGUUCAUCAUGGUGUUUCAGAUGACCACAGUUGUAAAGCUGGGUGCCCACAAUGACCCACCAUAGUGAUAUGCAUUUAUAUGUUUCCCUUUUGACCUAUUUCUGUAUCAAUAUAGUUCAUCUGCUCAUAACUGUUAUGCCUGUGCAACUGUUGUUAGUAUACCUGAGUGUUUAUGCUUACAGAAAUACGUGUGUUUUUAUUGCCUUAUUUUACUGUGUAAAGUGGCUUAUGAAGUGUUAUGUCUUUUUUAUGUUUCUUAAAUAAAUUACCUUUUUAAAAUAUAAA
This 4838-nucleotide small RNA is filed under the name Pongo abelii (Sumatran orangutan). RNAcentral's name for it is "retained intron". The record is from RNAcentral. Lineage: Eukaryota; Metazoa; Chordata; Mammalia; Primates; Hominidae.